This 853-nucleotide ribosomal RNA is filed under the name uncultured bacterium. RNAcentral's name for it is "bacterial SSU rRNA". It matches the Rfam family "Bacterial small subunit ribosomal RNA", at positions 26 to 873 of the family's 1533-position model. The record is from RNAcentral.
AGGAUGAACGCUAGCGGCAGGCUUAAUACAUGCAAGUCGAGGGGCAGCAUGAGUGUAGCAAUACAUUUGAUGGCGACCGGCAAACGGGUGCGGAACACGUACAGAACCUUCCUUCGAGCGGGGAAUAGCCCAGAGAAAUUUGGAUUAAUACCCCAUAGCAUAUUGAAGAGGCAUCUCUUUAAUAUUAAAGAUUUAUCACUUGAAGAUGGCUGUGCGGCUGAUUAGAUAGUUGGCGGGGUAACGGCCCACCAAGUCUACGAUCAGUAACUGGUGUGAGAGCACGACCAGUCACACGGGCACUGAGACACGGGCCCGACUCCUACGGGAGGCAGCAGUAAGGAAUAUUGGGCAAUGGAGGCAACUCUGACCCAGCCAUGCCGCGUGGAGGAUGAAGGCCCUCUGGGUUGUAAACUUCUUUUAUAUGGGACGAAAAAGGACUUUUCUAAGUCAACUGACGGUACCAUGUGAAUAAGCACCGGCUAACUCCGUGCCAGCAGCCGCGGUAAUACGGAGGGUGCAAGCGUUAUCCGGAUUCACUGGGUUUAAAGGGUGCGUAGGUGGGUUGGUAAGUCAGUGGUGAAAUCCCCGAGCUUAACUUGGGAACUGCCAUUGAUACUAUCAGUCUUGAAUAUUGUGGAGGUCAGCGGAAUAUGUCAUGUAGCGGUGAAAUGCUUAGAUAUGACAUAGAACACCAAUUGCGAAGGCAGCUGGCUACUCAUAUAUUGACACUGAGGCACGAAAGCGUGGGGAUCAAACAGGAUUAGAUACCCUGGUAGUCCACGCCCUAAACUAUGGAUACUCGACAUUUGCGAUACACAGCAAGUGUCUGAGCGAAAGCAUUAAGUAUCCCACC